GACGAACGCUGGCGGCGUGCUUAACACAUGCAAGUCGAACGGUAAGGCCCUUCGGGGUACACGAGUGGCGAACGGGUGAGUAACACGUGAGCAAUCUGCCCUUGACUCUGGGAUAACUGCGGGAAACUGUAGCUAAUACCGGAUACGACGCCUUGGGGCAUCCCAGGGCGUGGAAAGAAUUUCGGUCAAGGAUGAGCUCGCGGCCUAUCAGCUAGUUGGUGAGGUAACGGCUCACCAAGGCGACGACGGGUAGCCGGCCUGAGAGGGUGACCGGCCACACUGGAACUGAGACACAGUCCAGACUCCUACGGGAGGCAGCAGUGGGGAAUAUUGCACAAUGGGCGCAAGCCUGAUGCAGCAACGCCGCGUGAGGGAUGAAGGCCUUCGGGUUGUAAACCUCUUUUAGCAGGGAAGAAGCGAAAGUGACGGUACCUGCAGAAAAAGCACCGGCUAACUACGUGCCAGCAGCCGCGGUAA
RNAcentral lists this ribosomal RNA (477 nucleotides) under uncultured bacterium. RNAcentral describes it as "partial 16S ribosomal RNA". It matches the Rfam family "Bacterial small subunit ribosomal RNA", at positions 28 to 523 of the family's 1533-position model. The record is from RNAcentral.